Molecule: non-coding RNA, 135 nt
Organism: Brachypodium distachyon (stiff brome)
Lineage: Eukaryota; Viridiplantae; Streptophyta; Magnoliopsida; Poales; Poaceae
Source: Rfam
CAACUACUCCCUCCGUCCGGUAUUAAGUGUCGCAACUUUGUCUAGAUACACAUGUAUCUAGGCAUGUUUUAGUUGUAGGUACAUGCGUAUCUAGACAAAGUUGCAACACUUAAUAACGGACAGAGGGAGUACUUA